GUCAGAGGCACAGCCCCGGCAGCACCGAGCCCUCCCGCAGGGACCGCCGCCCCGGGGGUGCGCGGUGGCCUUCCCUGGAUCGCUGACUUCCCGCAGCCCGCCCCACCCCGCAGGAACCCGGCCGCGGGGACGUCUCCCACCGCCCGGGCACGGCUGUGGAGGGGCAGUACCCAACCACUCCUGGCUGCCCCCGUGGCCUCGAUUCACUAAAGCCUCUUGCCAUGUGCUUCAAGAGGACGCGAUAAAUCCUGCUCCGUAAUUGCCGGACUAACUUAGCUGUUUUCCUAUCUUUUAAAAUUUAUUUUAUUAUUAUUGUUACUAUAAUUUUAAUGACUUCUGGGAUGGGACUGGAGACCCAGCGCGACUUAACAUUCUUUUCAGGACCGAAGGAAAUCCCAGGUUGCUCCCGAAGUUGUCUUGGGCUCUGGUAUUUGAAGCUGGACUUGCAACUAGGCAUUAAGCAUGCAGCUGCAUUCUUGCUGUGGUCUGGUAUCCACGAGUUGAUGGAGGAACCAUGCCCCUUCAUCCCCUGCAUUUGUAAAAGUGGGUUUUUUUCUUGGGUUUGGAUUGCUGUCUUUUAUAUUUUUAUAUAACAACAUUUUCAUUUUUAUAUUAUUAUGCAUGGCCACACUUCCUCCUCUGAGAGUCUGGAAUAAAAUUUAGCAAAACAUCGGGGGGAGGAGGGAGAAAGAAGAAGACACAGUGGUCAGUAACACUCUAGAAAUUAAAAUAACCCUCAAUUUGAAUGUGUUUUUUUUUUAGUAUCAAUGACUAAGUUACUUACUGAGUAUCAAUGUCUGAGUUACUUUUUGGUGGGGCACAGAGACUGCCCAAGACCUAGGCUGCAUUAGGGAUAAGUUCAUUCCCUUGGGCUGAGCAGUUGCUUGUCACACCCGGAGUGUGCUCAGCUGCAUCACAGGGAGGAUGUUAAUUCACAUCUCCAUGGUUUAGUCUGGUGGAGUAGCACGCUAUUUCUCACUGAAGGUAGAGGAAUAGCCUCACAGAGGAAAAAAAUUACUUGCAAAAAAAAUACCAGUUGCAUGCAAAUUCAACAUGUUCUUAGUAGCGUAUGGAAAAUGCUAUAGGAAAGCAACAGCAAGUUCAACUGCAAAAUGUCAAGUCCCUUCUUCCUACCUCGCUGAGCUUGGCAAACUUUAGCAGGCUAGUGGAAAACAAGCAAACAAAUGGCAAUAGAAAAGCCCUUAUAAAUCAGGCUAACAGGAAAGUAAGGCUACGGCUUUCUGGCAAUAAUUAACUCUGAUGAAGGCCCCCCAUCUCUCUUUUUGAAAUAGCUAGCUGAGGGUUGUGGUGCCUGUGAAGAAGCAUUUGCUCAGUGAGAGAGCAGCUGUCAGCUGCUUGCUGGUUUUUCCUCCCUGGGAACAAGCUUUAGCACACUGAGAUAUGGGCAAUGCUUCACAGUUACCAUAAACACUAAGGAUAUUAGUCAUGUAUUGUUUGUGCCUACAUGACACCUAUCAUUUUAAAUCUGGCAGCUGAAAUAACUGUCUGUGAUUACAGUGGAGCUGCACUGAUUUUCUAAAGUGAAGCUAUGGCUAAGAGACUGACCUUCCUCCUGGUAAAUCCUUAAAAGUUAAAACUAAAAUACUCCUAAAAUUUUUGUUGCUUAGUGGAACCUCUUGUGCUUGUCUGGAGGUUGUCCCUAUCUCAGAAAUGGGUUGCUCAUGGGAAGCAACAUCACACUGAGACCUGUGGAGCUCUAAUGAAUACCUUCAGUUUUCACCAGGCAGAAAGGUCUACCCUGCAACUAACAGCACUGCCAUCACUACUGCAAGAAAGAUCCUUAUCUGAUUAAGUAAUUGAGGUUGUCAUAAAAAACCCCAGUAGUAGAAAGAGCCUAAAAUGUAAUUGCAUGAGCAGCCUUGACCCUCAAAUGCCUGAACCCUCUGAAUGCCAUAUUUCUCAGCUUGCAACGCCUUUCUUAGAGGAGACACAAACAAGCAGUGUGAGAACAUCAGGCUGGAAGGCAUUGCCAUCCUCAGGCAGCAGGAGUCCUCUUGCUUUUGCUGAAUUAGAGGUGUGAGCAUUUCCACCACUUCUUGCACCAUCUCCUGCUGCCUUAGGGGUAUCGAGCAAUCAAAUUCUUUGAGUGAUUAUUUGCUCUAGUUUGGGGAAUUCUGUGGUGCUAGCACUCAGUCUGUGGGUGUCUUCCCAGGACUUCCCAGGAGACCAGAUUUAUCCCCAGCCUAUCCUUGAGGCCCACCAUGCCUUCUUUCUUGGCUGUUUUUGUCAUUCAAAGUGUACCUUUCCCCUGGACGCUCACGCUUUUUUGGGCUUUUGGACUAGAAAUUAAAGUUUCAGGGAUAAGCCAUACUUUAUAUAACAGACAUUCAGAAAAAAAAUCUUGUUUAGUGCUUCUGGUCAUUUCCACCCAAUCAGCAUGUACUGAAAAAUUAGUAUGUAUGCAUCAGUGCUGACUGAGAAAACAGCUCCUGAGACAGCUGUUUUCUUACAGUGAAUCUGUAGUAAACUGAACCAGAGUUUGUAAUUCCUGUGCAGUUUUCUCAAACCCUUACAAUGCUCUUGUUCAAUGUGGGGAAUGUAUCUACUCUGCAAGUGAUUUAUCUUGGGCUUUCCUUUAUUAAACAACAAUAAAUUGAGAAAUUGUUGACUCAUAAGUUUUCAUUAGCAGUCAUUUAUCCCAUGCUCUAAUUAACCACCUGGGGCUCUACAGAAACAUGCUUGUGGUAUUCAUUACUCAGACUAAAAUGUGGGAGAAAAAAUGGUAGGAAUUUCUUGAAAGCAGAGUUUUUUCACAGCCCACAAAACAGAAUGAUGAUGGAAAAUAUGUCAAAUGCCAAUAGAUGAAGUACAUCUCCUAUGAGAAAAGUGAAAACGAAGUAUCUGCCUUAGAGAAACCAAAGCAUUACAAGGGAAAAAGAUGUGUGCUAUUUCUGAAAGCUGCUCACAAAAGAGAUGAGUGAGCUUUUUGGAGGCAUGGUAUUGCUUCAGGUCUUCUGGAGAAAGGCAAGAAAAUAUAAACUCUUAGUAUGCUAUCAUCCAAAUAAAAACUAUGUUAUAUCCUUAAAUCA
This is a non-coding RNA of Cyanistes caeruleus (blue tit), 3050 nucleotides long. Lineage: Eukaryota; Metazoa; Chordata; Aves; Passeriformes; Paridae. The record is from RefSeq and is a predicted model, not a curated record.